CCUACGGGCGGCAGCAGUGGGGAAUAUUGGGCAAUGGGCGCAAGCCUGACCCAGCAACGCCGCGUGAAGGAAGAAGGCUUUCGGGUUGUAAACUUCUUUUCUCAGGGACGAAGCACGUGACGGUACCUGAGGAAUAAGCCACGGCUAACUACGUGCCCGCAGCCGCGGUAAUACGGAGGGUGCGAGCGGUAAUCGGAAUUACUGGGCGUAAAGCGCUCGUGGGGGGUAGGUCAAGUCAAGGGGGAAAUCCCCGGGCUCAACGUGGGAACUGCCUUUGAAACUGGCAAACUGGAGUGUGUGAGAGGAUAGUGGAAUUCCAGGUGUAGGAGUGAAAUCCGUAGAUAUCUGGAGGAACAUCAGUGGCGAAGGCGACUAUCUGGCACAUAACUGACGCUGAGGAGCGAAAGCGUGGGUAGCAAACAGGAUUAGAUACCCGAGUAGUC
This 443-nucleotide ribosomal RNA is filed under the name uncultured bacterium. Its description in RNAcentral is "partial 16S ribosomal RNA". It matches the Rfam family "Bacterial small subunit ribosomal RNA", at positions 338 to 795 of the family's 1533-position model. The record is from RNAcentral.